AACGAACGCUGGCGGCAUGCCUAACACAUGCAAGUCGAACGAGACCUUCGGGUCUAGUGGCGCACGGGUGCGUAACGCGUGGGAACCUGCCCUUAGGUUCGGAAUAACUCCCCGAAAGGGGUGCUAAUACCGGAUAAUGUCUUCGGACCAAAGAUUUAUCGACUUUGGAUGGGCCCGCGUUGGAUUCGCUAGUUGGUAGGGUAAAAGCCUCCCACGGCGACGAUCCAUAGCUGGGCUGAGAGAAUGAUCAGCCACACUGGGACUGAGACACGGCCCAGACUCCUACGGGAGGCAGCAGUGGGGAAUAUUGGACAACGGCCGAAAGCCUGAUCCAGCAAUGCCGCGUGAGUGAUGAAGGCCUUAGGGUUGUAAAGCGCUUUUACCCGGGAUGAUAAUGACAGUACCGGGAGAAUAAGCCCCGGCUAACUCCGUG
Molecule: ribosomal RNA, 433 nt
Filed under: uncultured bacterium
Lineage: Bacteria
Description: partial 16S ribosomal RNA
Rfam family: Bacterial small subunit ribosomal RNA
Source: RNAcentral